Molecule: RNA transcript, 4127 nt
Organism: Sus scrofa (pig)
Lineage: Eukaryota; Metazoa; Chordata; Mammalia; Artiodactyla; Suidae
Gene: GPR65
Gene name: G protein-coupled receptor 65
Source: RefSeq, a predicted model, not a curated record
UUUCCUGUCCCCUCAACAAUGUUGGUUUCUCUUCUGGGUACAAGCAGAUUUAUCUGGCUCCUCGGUUGACAAAAUCGUCAUCUCAAGAAACAUGGAAACAAAGACAUUUUAAAAAGAGAUGUCAAUCUCUGUGAAAAGAAAUCUUUAUAUAUUGAUGUUUGGACCCAUGUCCUCUGAACGUCAUGAGGAAAACCAGACUGAGGACCACAUUCCAUGAAAACUGAUGGACACCCGGCUUAUCCUCCAGGGUUCUUCAUCAGCAUUCUAUCAUAGUAAGCAGCCCAUGGACCUCUGCUCUUUCAAAUCGACCGAUCAUUUAACUAAGUGCCGGGAGCCUGGCUCCUGCCAGACUCCAGCCAUUGAUAUCUGAGCAAAUUGAUCUACGUUCACCCUUUAAAACCACUGAUGAAUCAAUCAGAACUUCUGAAAGCAAGGAAAAACUGAAAUGUCUUAGUCAAAGAGAUUUCGAUGUUGAAAACCAGCUACCACAAGGAAAGGCUUAUCUUUCGAUUCACCGUCCGGGAACAAAUGUAAAUCCGCCUCUUGAAAAGAUGAACAGCACGUGUAUUGAAGAACAGCAUGACUUGGACCACUACUUGUUUCCAGUGGUUUACAUCUUUGUGGUAAUAGUGAGCGUUCCAGCCAAUAUCGGCUCUCUCUGUGUGUCUUUUCUGCAAGCAAAGAAGGAGAACGAACUAGGCAUUUACCUCUUCAGUUUAUCACUAUCGGAUCUGCUGUAUGCAUUAACUCUCCCUCUGUGGAUUGAUUAUACUUGGAAUCAAGACAACUGGACAUUCUCUCCCGCCCUGUGCAAAGGGAGCGCUUUUUUCAUGUACAUGAAUUUUUACAGCAGUACGGCCUUUCUCACCUGCAUCGCCAUCGAUCGGUAUCUAGCAGUUGUUUACCCUCUGAGGUUUUCUUUUCUAAGGUCAAGAAGAUUUGCGUUCAUGGUCAGUCUAUUCAUCUGGGUGCUGGAAAGCUUUUUCAACGCUAUCAUCUUGUGGGAAGAUGAAACAGCUGUCGAAUACUGUGAUACCAAAAAAUCGAAUUUUACUUUAUGCUAUGACAAAUACCCUUUGGAGAAAUGGCAAAUCAAGUUCAACUUUUUUAGGACGUGUGUAGGCUAUUUGAUCCCUUUGGUGGUCAUAAUGGUUUGCAACCGGAAAGUCUACCAAGCUGUGAAGCAAAAUCAAGCCACGGAAAACAGUGAAAAGAAGAGAAUCAUAAAACUCCUUGUUAGUAUCACAUUGACUUUUAUCUUGUGUUUUACUCCCUUUCAUGUGAUGUUGCUGAUUCGCAGCAUUUUAGAACGUGAUGUGAACUUAGAUGAACAUAUAUUUGACCAUAACAAGUCUGGGAAGCAGACUUAUAAAAUCUAUAGAAUCACAGUUGCAUUAACAAGUCUAAAUUGCGUGGCAGAUCCAAUGCUGUACUGUUUUGUAACUGAAACAGGAAGAUCAGAUAUGUGGAAUAUAUUAAAUUUUUUUACAGGGAAGUUUAAUAAAUCAGAAAGACAAAGAAAAAGUAUGCUUUCUAUGUCUACCAGAGAUACUUUGGAAUUAGACAUCCUGGACUAGAACCGAAGAAUUUUUUUAAAGAUAUAUAAUAUUAUAUCACUGAGAUUGUGUUUGGAAAAGGAAAUCUAAGCAGGAAAAGAGACUAAGUGUUCCCCUUGAGGGACUAUUUUAAUUCUCUCCAAUGGAAGUAUUUUAAAAGUGCACUGCAUUAGUUCCCUGACUCUUAUUAAAUGAGAAUUAAAAUUUAAUAUUUUCCUAAUGACUCAGGAUCAUUAUUUUCAGUGGCAAUUGUUUUUGUAUCUGCGUUCUCAUCUCUCACAGGUUUACUGGUCGGCUACCUGUGAGACAGAACAAUCCCUGAAGGGAAGUUGUGGGUGGAACACGGCGUGAGCUGGUAGGUGCCGGCUCCCCCACAGUGGGCUACCAGCCAUCAUUACUUCCUUCAGAUGGUUCAACACACCAGCGGGUACCUUAAGGGCCUUCACUGGUGGUUCCACAUUUUCAGUGGGGCCUGCUUCUAGGAAUUCACAGUUCUGAGGAGACACGUGCUGUAGACAUCACCAUAAACGGACAGGAGCCCUGCCUGUGGCCACUGGGUGUCGAUGGUGUUCCAUUCAGAACCUUGGAGUUCAAGGCUAGCUGCCACUUCCAAAAAGCAAAAAGGAGCUUAGGAUGACAUUCUUCCAGACAAGAAAGAAGAAAUAUCCACAAUGAAUUGGAAAAUAAUACGGUGUGAAAUUCAGUGUGCAUCACUGAGUUAUCUGCUUUCCAGAAAGCUUAGCAACCAUCAGAUAAUCGCAGUUGGUUUAAACUCCCCACGUUGUUCUAACAUUUUUUUUUCCAACCAGUUAAAUUGGUCAGUCUGCACACGAGAGAACAUAGACUAAAUUGUUUAAUUUCUACAAGAUUUUGGAUGUAACAUUGAUGACUUGUUCUUAUUUAGUUAUCUCACCCACUUAAGAAAAUCCUGGCCAUCUUUCACAGAUAGAGAAACAUAAGACAUUUGAGCCGUAAGCAGUUUGCAACUUGUUUACUAUGAUGUAAUUAUCUGUGAAACUCAAGAUAUAAUUCAAUAUUUGUAUGACUUUCAAUUCCUAAUUUAUUAUUGUUAGAUCUCAGCACCAGAAAUAUACAUCUGUUAUUCUGAAUUGUUUAAAUUUGUUCUUCCCCAAAGAACAGUAAUAUAAUCAUGUUCUAGUUUAACAGCAUUUGCAUAUCAUUAAACAUGUAAUGGCCUAUAAUCUACUUUUCUUCUGCCGUAAUUUUCUUAAACUCUUUAUGAAACACCAGUAGAUUUUUACACAUUUAAGAAAUAGGUUAUGAUUCCUCAAAUGAUGUCAUAAUUAGAUGUUCAGAAAGCAAGCCAAUAAAGGAAUGAGCUGGGGAAUCUCCAUGUCUUGUUCAGUGCAAGCUUUAGAAUAAAAACAUAAAUUUCAUUAUCUGGGAAAUGUGUGCGCAGUUAAUUUCAAAAUCAAAUACAAUCAAGAAAUCUUGCUCUGCAGUGACUACACUUGCUGCAAGAAAUAUUAACCUCAGUUCUCAGGGUUUCAUCGAUCCUUCUUGGAAAUAUGAUUGAAAUGCUUCUAAAAGAAUCCUUUUCAGAAUGAUUGUAAAAUUCCUGGUCUUGGCUCUAAGACUAUUGGCACCAACAAAUAGAUUAACUUGAAAACCAUGAUUUCUUUUGACAGUUAGAUGGACCAAAUCAAAGAAUUGUAGUAAUGGACUGAAAAGUGCCUACAUAGAGGCGUACUGGCCACCUAGAAACACGUGCACAAUAAGUGCCAGGUCUAUUUUAUUUUAUUUUAUUUUAUUCUUUUAAUGGAUGCACCACGUGGAAGUUCCCAGGCCAGGGACUGAAUUCGAGCCACAGCUGUGACUACACUGCAAUUGCAACAAUGCCGGAUCCUUUCACCCACUGCUCCAGGCUGGGUAUCAGACCCGAGGGGCUGCAGUUGGGUUUUUAAUCCACUGUGCCACAGUGGGAAUUGCCAAUGCCAGCUCUAUUAAGUUUAUUAGUGUUUUUUAAAAAUAUAUAUGAUAAAAAAAGUCAUCUGUCAUACCACCCACCCACUCCUGGAAAUGACACUCGCUGAUGGUUAAGAAAGCGGUUUUGCAUCUUUGGAGCAAUGUCUUCAGCAAGUCUCUGGCAGUUUACUCAAGAAGUGUAUAUGUGACACCCUGUGUUCGAAAGGACUGUGGGAAGGAAAGACCUCAUGUCUUUCAGCACUUGUUCAGUUCCCCUUGGAUGAAAGAAUUGCUAAGAAAAAGCAGGGUCUGGAAUAAAUAGAUUCUUUGUCUUGCUCUACAAAUCUAGCUCUGACUACUAAAAGGGCUAUUGCUGAAGGUGUUCUCACUGGUAAUCAGAAUUGUUUGAUGAGGGAAUAAACAAUAAUUAAUUAAAUGAACUAAAAAUCAUUCAGGUUCACUCUUUGUCCUAACCCCAGAGUUCAGUUCCUGAAACCCCUUAGAACUAUUUUUAUUUUGAGUUGAAAAAUUUUAAGAUUGUAGGGUUAAAAUGAGGUUAAAGAGAAAGUUUACUUUUCCUCCCCCUUUUUUGGCCUACAAGAUUCCUAAGCCAAGGAUCAGAUCCUAGCUGAAUUUCAACCUACA